AUGUUGUUAUACUCACUGGAGCGAGGUUGUUCUGGAGCUUUUGUAUGUACAGUGGAACCUUUAUGCUUUUAUAUAUAUGUUUUAGUUAUAGCGGCUGUUUACCUCUUGUAUAGCUAUAUUCUUUUACAGGUACAGCUAUCGCUUCGUAUACAUGAAAAAUUUCUGUGUAUACGAUGGGUCUGUUGGCGUGCCCGAAAAAAUAUGGUAAUCGAGGGCGUGACAGAUUAAGUUGGUAUCAGAGCUUGGAAUUAGGUCGUUGGGA
Molecule: long non-coding RNA, 262 nt
Filed under: Ananas comosus (pineapple)
Lineage: Eukaryota; Viridiplantae; Streptophyta; Magnoliopsida; Poales; Bromeliaceae
Description: long non-coding RNA (ACOM_LNC034148)
Source: RNAcentral